Molecule: ribosomal RNA, 712 nt
Filed under: uncultured Pseudomonadota bacterium
Lineage: Bacteria; Pseudomonadati; Pseudomonadota
Description: bacterial SSU rRNA
Rfam family: Bacterial small subunit ribosomal RNA
Source: RNAcentral
ACAUGCAAGUCGAACGGGAUGCUUAGGCAUCUAGUGGCGGACGGGUGAGUAACGCGUGAGAAUCUGGCUCCAGGUCGGGGAUAACAGUUGGAAACGACUGCUAAUACCGGAUGUGCCGAGAGGUGAAAGAUUUAUUGCCUGGAGAUGAGCUCGCGUCUGAUUAGCUAGUUGGUGGGGUAACGGCUCACCAAGGCGACGAUCCGUAGCUGGUCUGAGAGGACGACCAGCCACACUGGGACUGAGACACGGCCCAGACUCCUACGGGAGGCAGCAGUGGGGAAUAUUGGACAAUGGGGGAAACCCUGAUCCAGCGACGCCGCGUGUGUGAAGAAGGCCUGCGGGUUGUAAAGCACUUUUAGUGGGGAGGAAAACCCCUGACCUAACACGUCAGGAAUUGACUUAACCCAAAGAAAAAGCACCGGCUAACUCUGUGCCAGCAGCCGCGGUAAUACAGAGGGUGCAAGCGUUAAUCGGAAUUACUGGGCGUAAAGCGUGCGUAGACGGUUAUCUAAGUCGGAUGUGAAAUCCCCGGGCUCAACCUGGGAAUUGCAUUCGAGACUGAAUAGCUAGGGUGCGGAAGAGGGAAGCGGAAUUUCCGGUGUAGCGGUGAAAUGCGUAGAUAUCGGAAGGAACAUCAGUGGCGAAAGCGGCUUCCUGGUCCAGCACCGACGUUCAGGCACGAAAGCGUGGGGAGCAAACAGGAUUAGAUACC